AAAGAUGAGCAUGCGUCCCAUUAGCUAGUUGGUAAGGUAACGGCUUACCAAGGCAACGAUGGGUAGGGGUCCUGAGAGGGAGAUCCCCCACACUGGUACUGAGACACGGACCAGACUCCUACGGGGAGGGCAGCAGUGAAGAAUAUUGGUCAAUGGGCGCAAGCCUGAACCAGCCAUGCCGCGUGCAGGAUGACGGUCCUAUGGAUUGUAAACUGCUUUUGCACAGGAAGAAACCCUCGGUCGUGACCGAGCUUGACGGUACUGUGAGAAUAAGGAUCGGCUAACUCCGUGCCAGCAGCCGCGGUAAUACGGAGGAUCCAAGCGUUAUCCGGAAUCAUUGGGUUUAAAGGGUCCGUAGGCGGCCAGAUAAGUCAGUGGUGAAAGCCCAUCGCUCAACGAUGGAACGGCCAUUGAUACUGUUUGGCUUGAAUUAUUUGGAAGUAACUAGAAUAUGUAGUGUAGCGGUGAAAUGCUUAGAGAUUACAUGGAAUACCAAUUGCGAAGGCAGGUUACUACAAAUUGAUUGACGCUGAUGGACGAAAGCGUGGGUAGCGAACAGGAUUAGAUACCCUGGUAGUCCACGCCGUAAACGAUGGAUACUAGCUGUUGGGAGCAAUCUCAGUGGCUAAGCGAAAGUGAUAAGUAUCCCACCUGGGGAGUACGUUCGCAAGAAUGAAACUCAAAGGAAUUGACGGGGGCCCGCACAAGCGGUGGAGCAUGUGGUUUAAUUCGAUGAUACGCGAGGAACCUUACCAAGGCUUAAAUGUAGAUUGACCGGUUUGGGAACAGACUUUUCGCAAGACAAUUUACAAGUGGCUGCAUGGUGGUCGUCAGCUCGUGCCGUGAGGUGUCAGUUAAGUCCCUAUAACGAGCGCAACCCCUGUUGUUAGUUGCCAGCGAGUCAUGUCGGGAACUCUAGCAAGACUGCCAGUGUAAACUGUGAGGAAGGUGGGGAUGACGUCAAAUCAUCACGGCCCUUACGCCUUGGGCUACACACGUGCUACAAUGGCCGGUACAGAGAGAGAGC
RNAcentral lists this ribosomal RNA (1027 nucleotides) under Flavobacterium psychrophilum. Its description in RNAcentral is "bacterial SSU rRNA". It matches the Rfam family "Bacterial small subunit ribosomal RNA", at positions 221 to 1251 of the family's 1533-position model. Lineage: Bacteria; Pseudomonadati; Bacteroidota; Flavobacteriia; Flavobacteriales; Flavobacteriaceae. The record is from RNAcentral.